RNAcentral lists this unclassified non-coding RNA (346 nucleotides) under uncultured fungus. RNAcentral's name for it is "sequence contains ITS1". The stretch from base 1 to 104 matches the Rfam family "5.8S ribosomal RNA", at positions 50 to 154 of the family's 154-position model. The record is from RNAcentral. Lineage: Eukaryota; Fungi.
AAAACGCGAAAUUUAAUGUGAAUUGCAGGGUUUGUGAAUCAUCAAGUUUUUGAACGCAUAUGGCACUGUGUGGAAUUCCAUGCAGUAUGUCUGUUUGAGCAUCUGUUUUUAUUUCUAGUUCCUUCUAAGGGGGGUAACUGGGAUUUGGGUUUUAGUGCCAAUUUGCACUUUGCUUGAAAUAUCAAAUGGUCCUUACACAAGCGAUCUGCACUCUUUCCUGAGAACACUUUUCAGUUAAAAGGGUGUAGUGUGUUUUGAAUGUAGGCUGACUACGGAGGGUGACCCAUUAGGUGCCACCCCCACUCUUCACGAUCUCAAAUCAGAUAGGACUACCCGCUGAACUUAA